Molecule: ribosomal RNA, 513 nt
Filed under: uncultured bacterium
Lineage: Bacteria
Description: bacterial SSU rRNA
Rfam family: Bacterial small subunit ribosomal RNA
Source: RNAcentral
UGCAACACUGCGGCGUGCUAAUCAUGCAAGUCGACGCACGAAGUUGAAGAGCUUGCUCUUUACCAAGUGAGUGGCGGACGGGUGAGUAACACGUGGGUAACCUGCCCAUUAGAGGGGGAUAACAUUCGGAAACGGAUGCUAAUACCGCAUAGUUUCAGGGAUCGCAUGAUUCUUGAAGGAAAGGUGGCUUCGGCUACCACUAAUGGAUGGACCCGCGGCGUAUUAGCUAGUUGGUGAGGUAAUGGCUCACCAAGGCAAUGAUACGUAGCCGACCUGAGAGGGUGAUCGGCCACACUGGGACUGAGACACGGCCCAGACUCCUACGGGAGGCAGCAGUAGGGAAUCUUCCGCAAUGGACGAAAGUCUGACGGAGCAACGCCGCGUGAGUGAAGAAGGUUUUCGGAUCGUAAAACUCUGUUGUUAAAGAAGAACAAGGAUGAGAGUAACUGCUCAUCCCCUGACGGUAUUUAACCAGAAAGCCACGGCUAACUACGUGCCAGCAGCCGCGGUAAU